GUAUCAUGGCUCAGAUUGAACGCUGGCGGCAGGCUUAACACAUGCAAGUCGAACGGUAACAGGAGAAAGCUUGCUUUCUUGCUGACGAGUGGCGGACGGGUGAGUAAUGCUUGGCAAUCUGGCUUAUGGAGGGGGAUAACGACGGGAAACUGUCGCUAAUACCGCGUAGAGUCGAGAGACGAAAGUGCGGGACCGCAAGGCCGCAUGCCAUAGGAUGAGCCCAAGUGGGAUUAGGUAG
RNAcentral lists this ribosomal RNA (238 nucleotides) under uncultured bacterium. RNAcentral's name for it is "partial 16S ribosomal RNA". It matches the Rfam family "Bacterial small subunit ribosomal RNA", at positions 14 to 248 of the family's 1533-position model. The record is from RNAcentral.